GAACAGGCUAUGGGAAAGAAUUAGCGAGCCCGUGAAGCCCAUGAAGCCCGGGCUCCCCUCUCGGCGUCUGCCCUUCUGCCUGGUGAAGAUGCGCCCAUUCCCUGACAGCACGAAACCAGAACGUGAUGUUCAUCAGCAAGGUCCCGGCAUGUCCAGCGGUGGUGGAAACCCUCUGUAAAUAGCCUGCUUCUCCAUGUGACUGCCAGAGGCCUUCUGUCCUGUGCACACUCACCACUUCAAUAGGGUAGCCAGAAAUCAAUCUGAUGAGAAAAGAAACAUUUCCAUAUACCCCACCCAGAAGAACGCUGCCAGAUGAUUGACCUGCCAGGUUCUCUUCCUUCUCACAUACAUAACCAGGUCUGCUGCCUGGGAUAUCCGACUUACUCAAGCGUUUUAAAAGACUCUCCAUCCUCUGUUCCCC
Long non-coding RNA from Balaenoptera ricei (Rice's whale), 421 nucleotides. RefSeq lists it as uncharacterized. The transcript is spliced from 4 exons. Lineage: Eukaryota; Metazoa; Chordata; Mammalia; Artiodactyla; Balaenopteridae. The record is from RefSeq and is a predicted model, not a curated record.